RNAcentral lists this ribosomal RNA (443 nucleotides) under uncultured bacterium. RNAcentral's name for it is "partial 16S ribosomal RNA". It matches the Rfam family "Bacterial small subunit ribosomal RNA", at positions 338 to 795 of the family's 1533-position model. The record is from RNAcentral.
CCUACGGGGUGCAGCAGUGGGGAAUAUUGGGCAAUGGGCGCAAGCCUGACCCAGCAACGCCGCGUGAAGGAAGAAGGCUUUCUGGUUGUAAACUUCUUUUCUCAGGGACGAAGAAAGUGACGGUACCUGAGGAAUAAGCCACGGCUAACUACGUGCCAGCAGCCGCGGUAAUACGUAGGUGGCAAGCGUGAUCCGGAUUCAUUGGGUGUAAAGGGCGUGUAGGCGGGAGCGCAAGUCAGAUGUGAAAACUCAGGGCUCAACCCUGAGCCUGCAUUUGAAACUGUGUUUCUUGAGUGCUGGAGCGGCAGUCGGAAUGUAGGGUGUAGCGGUGAAAUGCGUAGAGAUCAGACGGAACACCGGUGGCGAAGGCAGAUUGCCAGACAAUAUCUGACGCUGAGGCGCGAAAGCGUGGGUAGCAAACAGGAUUAGAUACCCGAGUAGUC